GACGAACGCUGGUGGCGUGCUUAACACAUGCAAGUCGAACGGUAAGGCCCUUCGGGGUACACGAGUGGCGAACGGGUGAGUAACACGUGGGUGAUCUGCCCUGCACUUCGGGAUAAGCCUGGGAAACUGGGUCUAAUACCGGAUAGGACUCCUGGCUUCAUGGUUGGGGGUGGAAAGCUUUUGCGGUGUGGGAUGGGCCCGCGGCCUAUCAGCUUGUUGGUGGGGUAAUGGCCUACCAAGGCGACGACGGGUAGCCGGCCUGAGAGGGUGACCGGUCACACUGGGACUGAGAUACGGCACAGACUCCUACGGAGGGCAGCAGUGGGGAAUAUUGCACAAUGGUCGCAAGCCUGAUGCAGCGACGCCGCGUGAGGGAUGACGGCCUUCGGGUUGUAAACCUCUUUCAGCACCGACGAAGCGCAAGUGACGGUAGGUGCAGAAGAAGGACCGGCCAACUACGUGCCAGCCGCCGCCGUAA
RNAcentral lists this ribosomal RNA (478 nucleotides) under uncultured bacterium. RNAcentral describes it as "partial 16S ribosomal RNA". It matches the Rfam family "Bacterial small subunit ribosomal RNA", at positions 28 to 523 of the family's 1533-position model. The record is from RNAcentral.